CACUGAGUCAACAACCAGACAACAGCUAUUUUCCUAAAAUAACCUCACCAGGGCAUGAACGUGGGAUUCUUAUUCAACUGAAUUUCGGAUAUAAAGCGGGGGAGAGGAGAGCGUUUGUUCCCUGGUCAUCAUUUGGUGCCUCAAAGGAGAAUGUGCAGCCUAAGAUGUGCUAGAGGGAGGGUUUGUCUCUCAUGAGUGACUGGUCAAGGUGUAGAGGGAGUCACUGGGGUGUCACCUAAAACCCCUCAGCAGAGCAGUCAGCUGGAACCUGCAGCAGCCAUUAGCAGUGUGGUUACUACUGUACCAUGACAUCCAUUCAACCAUCGAGCCAAACUCCACUGAGAGCUGAGCGAUGGCAGAAUCUGAAAGGAUGAGGGACAGAAAUAUUGUGACAAAAGGACAAAAAAAAUUUUUUUUACACAACAUUUUAGGGGUCUGAAAAUGAAAGCUUUUAAAAUGGGUUUUAAAGAUCAAGUUUUUGGAGAUAAAUGAUACCAUUAUUGUCUCUUUGUAAGCAAUAAAAACUAGACUUUGUGAAAACUGUUAU
RNAcentral lists this long non-coding RNA (547 nucleotides) under Danio rerio (zebrafish). RNAcentral describes it as "lncRNA si:ch211-230k8.1 (ENSDARG00000097983.2)". Lineage: Eukaryota; Metazoa; Chordata; Actinopteri; Cypriniformes; Danionidae. The record is from RNAcentral.